Molecule: unclassified non-coding RNA, 399 nt
Filed under: soil metagenome
Description: partial contains 5.8S ribosomal RNA, internal transcribed spacer 2, and large subunit ribosomal RNA
Rfam family: 5.8S ribosomal RNA (bases 1-120)
Source: RNAcentral
GAUGAAGAACGUAGCGAAAUGCGAUACUUGGUGUGAAUUGCAGAAUCCCGUGAACCAUCGAGUCUUUGAACGCAAGUUGCGCCCGAAGCCUCGGCUAAGGGCACGUCUGCCUGGGCGUCACGCAUCGCGUCUCCCCCAAACCGCCAAGGCGGAGGGGAAGGAAGAUGGCUUCCCGUGCCUCACCCGGCGCGGUUGGCCUAAAUUUGGAGCCCGCGGCACUUAGCUCACGCAGCGAUAGGUGGUGAACAAGGCCUUGGCCGGGCAAACAACCCGCUGCGAAGCUCUAUGUCACGUGCGCUCGUCGGACCCUUUGAAGUUGCCUUCGGUGACUUAAAACCUUUGCGACCCCAGGUCAGGCGGGGCUACCCGCUGAAUUUAAGCAUAUCAAUAAGCGGAGGA